RNAcentral lists this ribosomal RNA (775 nucleotides) under uncultured Neocallimastigales. RNAcentral describes it as "partial large subunit ribosomal RNA". It matches the Rfam family "Eukaryotic large subunit ribosomal RNA", at positions 23 to 645 of the family's 3401-position model. The record is from RNAcentral. Lineage: Eukaryota; Fungi; Neocallimastigomycota; Neocallimastigomycetes; Neocallimastigales.
AGAGAGAGACAUGCGCGCAUAUCAAUAAGCGGAGGAAAAGAAACUAACUAGGAUUCCCUCAGUAACGGCGAGUGAAGCGGGAAGAGCUCAAAUUUGAAAUCUUCAAGGUUCUACCUUGACGAAUUGUAGUUUAAAGAAGUGUUUUCUGUUGGAGUUUUGGUAAAAGUUCUUUGGAAUAGGACAUCAUAGAGGGUGAGAAUCCCGUAUUUGACCAUUAUUUCCAGCUUUGUGAUACACUUUCAAAGAGUCGGAUUGUUUGGGAAUGCAGUCCAAAAUGGGUGGUAAAUUUCAUCUAAAGCUAAAUACUGGCGAGAGACCGAUAGCGAACAAGUACCGUGAGGGAAAGAUGAAAAGAACUUUGAAAGGAGAGUUAAACAGUACGUGAAAUUGUCAAAAGGGAAGCGUUUGACACCAGUGUUGUUUUCUCGAAAAUCAAUUAAAAAAGGCAGGAUUUUGUGUUGUAUUGACUUUAUCAGCUUUCUGCACUCUUUUCUUGUCUUUUUUAAUGCACUUUUCGUUUAACAAGUCAACAUCAAUUUCUUUUGUUGUAAAAGGGUCAUUGGAAGGUGGCUUUCUUUUCGGAGAAAGUGUUUAUAGCCUUUGGCCUCUGCAAUCGGAGAGAUUGAGGUCUGCAGCGUAGAUCCUUCGGGGUUAGAUACAUUUGUGCUAAGUUAUAGCCUUUUCAUAGACAACCUUGUUGACUAUGAUCAGUCAUGUAGCUUACUCGCUUAUGCUAUUUUACCUACGCUUAGGAUGUUGAUGUGAUACUGCGAGC